GCACCCGUAAUUCAAUGGUAGAAUGCCAGCUUCCCAAGCUGGAUACGUGGGUUCGAUUCCCAUCGGGUGCU
RNAcentral lists this transfer RNA (71 nucleotides) under Pseudomonadota bacterium. RNAcentral describes it as "tRNA-Gly". It matches the Rfam family "tRNA". Rfam says of the family: Transfer RNA (tRNA) molecules are approximately 80 nucleotides in length. Their secondary structure includes four short double-helical elements and three loops (D, anti-codon, and T loops). RNAcentral also lists the same sequence under 3 other names. The record is from RNAcentral. Lineage: Bacteria; Pseudomonadati; Pseudomonadota.